Molecule: ribosomal RNA, 410 nt
Filed under: Roseobacter sp. SJ1813
Lineage: Bacteria; Pseudomonadati; Pseudomonadota; Alphaproteobacteria; Rhodobacterales; Roseobacteraceae
Description: bacterial SSU rRNA
Rfam family: Bacterial small subunit ribosomal RNA
Source: RNAcentral
GCAGUCGAGCGCACCCUUCGGGGCGAGCGGCGGACGGGUUAGUAACNCGUGGGAACGUACCCUUCUCUAUGGAAUAGCCAUUGGAAACGAUGAGUAAUACCAUAUACGCCCUUCGGGGGAAAGAUUUAUCGGAGAAGGAUCGGCCCGCGUUAGAUUAGAUAGUUGGUGGGGUAAUGGCCUACCAAGUCUACGAUCUAUAGCUGGUUUUAGAGGAUGAUCAGCAACACUGGGACUGAGACACGGCCCAGACUCCUACGGGAGGCAGCAGUGGGGAAUCUUAGACAAUGGGCGCAAGCCUGAUCUAGCCAUGCCGCGUGUGUGAUGAAGGCCUUAGGGUCGUAAAGCACUUUCGCCAGGGAUGAUAAUGACAGUACCUGGUAAAGAAACCCCGGCUAACUCCGUGCCAGCAC